Long non-coding RNA from Salmo salar (Atlantic salmon), 1436 nucleotides. RefSeq lists it as uncharacterized. The record is from RefSeq and is a predicted model, not a curated record. Lineage: Eukaryota; Metazoa; Chordata; Actinopteri; Salmoniformes; Salmonidae.
CCUCCUUUCAACCAGAUUUCACAGAUUGAAGGAACUUCCUUUUCCACUGCAAGCAGAGUUUGAACCUUUACAAGGGAACGGUUUUGUCUUUGAAAUUUGUUGUUACUGAAUCGUAAAGUUUAUCAGCUAGUUUACAGUGGAAGGAUCUGUUUCUUAUCACUGGCUAUAAAAUUCAGCUAACAUUAAUCUAGCACCAGGAUCAGCAGUGCUUAGCAUAAGCUAAGUCAGAUAUUUUGCUAGCUAAUUUAGCUAACGUCGGUAGCCUCGAACCCUGGCCAUAUUAUAUCAUAUAGUUAGCCUCAAACUUUGCCCGGUCAUACUGCUAGCCGCAGUGAACGGCACCGUCUUGUGUUUUAUUAAAAGCCCUGCUGAAAAAACAUGUAAACUAUAACAGCCACGGAAACACAUUGGACUGUGUUGAUACUAUCAAGAAGGGAACCAUGAAGAGGAGCUUGGAGUGGGCAAGAUAAAGCAGCAGAGAAGACUUGAUUCAUCAAGUAUCAAUUAAUUUAGGUGAUUCUCACCUGGUCGGCAUGCACAACACGACAAGACACUUCAAUCCGACACUCUUGUUAAUGUUUGACGUCAGGCAGAACGUCUUCAGCCACAGUAGGACGGAGAGCCGCUGGUUGGCAUGUGACUGCAGUGUCUGUGGGUGAACCAGGAAAGGACGUUAGAAAUUAGGUCCCCAUGACAUCGAAGCUUCUUACCGUCUCCACUGCAGCCCAGUCGAUAUCGAUUAAAAAAACUGGAACAACAGAUUGUGCUACACUAUGUACUACUCCACUUUGCCUAUUGUCCCAACAAAUGUCAAUUAUACAUUUUUAAAUACGUCAGAGUGCAUUUUCUUUUAUAGCUCUGCUUUCAACGCCAUCCUUACCCACAAACUGGUUAGCAGGCUCUGGGUGUAAAUCCUGUAAUAACAAAUUCGAUUUUUUACAUUAUAAGAAUGUGUAUCCCCAGAAUGGACCCGACACUACCAUGGUACACAUGAGUACAUGGAGGAGCUGUGGGGUCUGACAUAAUGGUGAUAGGACAACAGUCUCAGCGUAAACAAAACAAAGUCAAUGGUGAUACUUGACCAUUCUCCCAUCUACUGUACAUUAACAUGGAGAUGAUCAGCAGCUUCAAGUUCCUGGGCACCCUGAUAUCCUUUUCUGCCCUCAGUUACUUCACUCAAAGUCCCACCAGUGCUUCUCCACUACCCUCAAAACUUGCUGCACCACGACCUAUGUACCAACUACAGUGUCUUAUUGCCAUAACACAUGCAAAUGAAAUGUCCAUAAUUACUGUAAGAUUUAUUUAUGGUAACAUUGCACAUAUUGUAACAUAGUCCCUUGACAUACAUGACUUAACUACUAUGCAUAAUGCUCAGUUCACCCACUAAGAAAUCAUACAUGUAUUUAAAUAUUAAAGCUGCAUUAUGUAUUACUGUG